RNAcentral lists this ribosomal RNA (508 nucleotides) under uncultured Comamonadaceae bacterium. RNAcentral's name for it is "bacterial SSU rRNA". It matches the Rfam family "Bacterial small subunit ribosomal RNA", at positions 897 to 1407 of the family's 1533-position model. The record is from RNAcentral. Lineage: Bacteria; Pseudomonadati; Pseudomonadota; Betaproteobacteria; Burkholderiales; Comamonadaceae.
AAACUUAAAUGAAUUGACGGGGACCCGCACAAGCGGUGGAUGAUGUGGUUUAAUUCGAUGCAACGCGAAAACCUUACCCACCUUUGACAUGUACGGAAGCCUUUGGAGACAGAGGCGUGCUCGAAAGAGAGCCGUAACACAGGUGCUGCAUGGCUGUCGUCAGCUCGUGUCGUGAGAUGUUGGGUUAAGUCCCGCAACGAGCGCAACCCUUGUCAUUAGUUGCUACAUUCAGUUGGGCACUCUAAUGAGACUGCCGGUGACAAACCGGAGGAAGGUGGGGAUGACGUCAAGUCCUCAUGGCCCUUAUAGGUGGGGCUACACACGUCAUACAAUGGCUGGUACAGAGGGUUGCCAACCCGCGAGGGGAGCCAAUCCCAUAAAGCCAGUCGUAGUCCGGAUCGUAGUCUGCAACUCGACUACGUGAAGUCGGAAUCGCUAGUAAUCGCGGAUCAGAAUGUCGCGGUGAAUACGUUCCCGGGUCUUGUACACACCGCCCGUCACACCAUGG